UCUCUUUAUUUAUUUGAUGAUUGUAUUUGGUACUUAAGGACCGUCAACAAACUUCCCCAAGCUUAAAUCUUGCUCGUCCCUGAGCAAGGAUAGACUCAGUGAUGGAUCAGAAGCUGCUAUAAUGCCUUUAAAAGUUGACGGUACACAUGCUUUCAAAUGAGGUCUCAUCUCUUAGAGUAAACUGUUAAUACUUAAAAUUUACUCAUUUUACCUUUCACCAUGGGGCUUGUAACCGUCACUUGUGUCUUGAGCAGUUAAAAGAUAGAACAGUCAAGUCAAGCGCCAUGUCUCUUGUUCUUUGAUCAACUAUAGCUCUGGAGUUUUUGCAGAUUUUCAAAUAAAACUUAGAGAUUCAUUGUAUGACUCUCUCAAAUCUCUGUUUUGCGGUAUUUCUGGAUCCUUACCAAGGCAGUAAUGGUAUAUGUCUUCUCUCAAAGUAUGUGGUAUUUUUGGUAUGAGGCAUAGUGACAUUGCCUUCUCUCUCACCCUACUCUAAUAAGGUUUUGAUAUCUGGAGCUCAUAGGUGGGAGACAGCUAAUACAUACUUACAAGACAUUUAUUGCAUAAUCAAACCAUGGAUCUAGAAGAACAAGUCAAUAAGUCAAAUCAAGAUGUGCAUGUGUGGUGAAUGAAUGGUGUAUGGUGAUGAUGGUGAUAAUGGUGAAAACAAUGGUGAAAGUCUAAUUCUACUUUUGCUCUUUUGAGGGGAUACAUAACUUUCUUGCACUUUGAAGUUUUUUGAGGGGAAUGAGAUCCUCUAUAUUUUCUUUUUCUUUUCUCUCAGGUGGGUAUCUUGUACCCCUAAUUCUACUAUCGGACACUUGUCCAUUUUUACCUCUCGUCUCACUUUUUCUUUUUUUCGAGGUUUCGGGCACUUGCCCCUUUUUAUUUCCUCGUAUUUUUCCCUUUUCUUCUAUUUUUUUAGAGCACUCACCCUCCUAGAACAAUGUAGCAAGUGGUAGUAACCAAGAUAACUCGAGCAUUUAUUUCACAGGGAAUAUCAGGGAUAGGAAAAUAUUUUUGGCUAUUCUCUCCCGGAUAGGAGUAGAAUAAUUUUAGGUGAAUCUGGAGAUGGAAUUGAGCGAAUGUAUUUGGAUGCAUACUUCUAGAGUAUAAGUAGCAUGUAUGAGUGAACGUGCAACUUAAUCUUGAUUUUAAUCGCAUGACAAGCUCCUAAGGGUCUACACAGCUUGUUCACACUCAAUGCUCAUAAACAGUAAAAAGUAAAUGUAUGGUUCAUAGUCUAAUAAGAAUGUGGCGGUGGUAGGAUUUUAAACUCUCAUCAUACAGGAACUCAUCAUGCAACAUUUUAAAGAUUUUCAAAGAUAAAAUUCUCUAGAAUUCUAGCAUCUCUAGGAACAGAUAAACAGCAGCUCAUCCUUCCCAUAUCGUAUCUGUUAACGACUUAGACUUUAGAUCAAGUACUCUUCUCACAAGUUCACGUUUAGACCAAAUCUUAAUUCAUAACAGUCAUGCCUAAACUUGAGAGAGAUUUCAAUUUUGAGAACUAGUCAUGGCAGAGCAACUAUUCUGAGAGCUUAUCUAAGCAAAGAUAUAUAUAAGCACAAAAUCUUUAUUUGGGUUUUUAUGAUUAUGCAUCUUUUUAUUAUUUGAGUAAAGUAUAAACACGAGUAGAAACACUUAGCUAGAUAACUGGGGGUGCCCUCCCCCAAGCUGAAUUUUGACGUAAUUUCCUCCGAUGUAGCUAGUAGGUGGUGGAGGUGUAUUUGAAUGUCGGCAGCACCCUGACAGCGAUUAGGGUGUCCUCCGUCUCCUAGUCUUCUUUGAUCCUUGAAUUCUGUGGAGCUCAAAUAGAUAGCAAAGCUUUGUGGAACUGGUUAAGUGUUAGCAUAAAAUCUCUUAGCCAUUAUCAUGUUGAGCUUCCUCUAAUAAAUAUUACUCUCUUUGGUAGGAUCAUAAAUUUAUAUUUAUAUUUUCAUUUUUAUAGGAAAGGAAUAUUUUUAUUUUUACGCCACCACAGUGAAUGGACUUAUGGGUUUUAUGCCACGAGCAUACUCACAUGGGGCUUACUAUUUUUAAGAUUUUAAUUUCUUUUCAAGAUAGCAUGAUUAACUAACAAGUCAUUUAAGGAAUGUAAAUAAUUUAAGGGAAAAGGGAAUGCAGAAAGGAUAAAUAUGGAUAACUACCGAUUUUUUCUUUCGGCGAGGGUUCAAUGUUUUAAGUCUUCUGAACAAGACUUCUCACCGUGUUCAUUCUUUAGGUACGUCAUUUGAUUCAGGUGUGGACCUUGAUGUCUGCACCUCUUGAUACGGUGUCACCCAUGUUUUUUGUUUGCCCAGCAGUUCAAAGUGCGGUGUUGGCAGCAUCCUGCUCAGUGUAUUUGUGCUCGUAGAUCUAGGUCCUUCACUUGGUGGACACUGGGAGUUGUAAAACUCCUCCAUGUUUUGCUCGAAGUGUACCUACUCAUAGAGACAAGGCAGAGAUCAAGUGCAUGGGCCCUGUUGGUGGAAAACACCAACAGAACCAAACGUGUAUUUGUUCUUCUCUAACCUUAAGCAUAAUGAGCAAGACAAAGUUGAUGGAUAAUAAGAUCAUGAGUGUAGCAUUUAAAACAUUUGUUAGAUCAGAUCUCUCAACCUAAUGAAAAGAUAAUCUAUCUAUAUUUAUGUUUUUUAUAUAUCUUCCAAAGAUUGAGUGUGCAAUAUUUUAGCUCAUAUGACUAGGAGUGUGGGAUCACAAAGGUGGAAGGACUAAACAUGUUGAAUUGAUUGGGUUGGUUAAUCUAGAGUUGUAAAUCAUACAUGUUUGUCUCUUUUAUUCAUGUGAAUGCCAGAACCAAGGAGACGCUUAUAAAAGUGAUAGUCAAGUACCUUAAGAUGUUACCUUACUUGAAGAGUGAUGGUACAGUAUCACCUUGUGGAAGCUUUCCUUUCUUAGCGGUUGUGCAUCGUGUCUGUGGCACCCUCCAUGGAUCAUCUCUUAUGAGCUAUGUCUUCCUUGUGUAAAUUGUAAAAAUUCAUGUGUCUCUCUCUUUGUCUCCAAUGUGAGUUUAUCUCAGGACUUCCCAGGUCGAUAUUGAAAGUUUUCCUAUAGGGGUUAGUCCAACAAUAUAUCUAAUAUCUACUAUAGCAUACUAUCGGCUCAAAAAUCAACCUAGACACCAUGUCUAAUUUGAUUUAGGAUGGCAUUUUAAUCUAAGCACCAUGCUUAAUUUAAAAUCCCUUGAAAGUAAGAUCAUCAUUCCUAAACUAAGCACCAUGCUUAUUUAAGAGAUAAAUGAAACUACUCCAAACCUAGACAUAUACUAAAGCAAAUAAAGGUAGCAUGAGAGCAUUUAUAGAGAUCUACUCAAGUGGAGAUAAAGUAGUGUGAUUAGUAUUUAACGAAUUGAGCAUGUCUCAAAGGUAGGGACAACCAACAUAGCAACAUGGCAAAGGAUGUUUUUAUGUAAAGUACUCCCCAAGCUUAAAUUUUGCAAAAUUCAAGUUCGGAUGAAUUUAAUUCAAUAUUGUAUGAUGAUUUGUUGGACAUACCUUAUGCGUGUCAUUCAUUCGAUCUUCUUGCUCCAAUCCUAGAAAGGUUAGUGACAAGAAUGCCCGAAGGAAUAUUUUUACAAUUAUCCUUAUAUGCUCAAUACACAAGGUAAUGUUGCAAAUAAUUAAAAGCUCAUGUUACGAUCUGAUCAGUGCUUAUUUUAGGACACUAAGCUUGUCCUGGGGAAACCAUCAGUUUAUGUUGGUGAAGUGGUUUCCCCUCCGACACCAACCUAUAUCAAGAUCAACUCAAUGAGAUCUGCAAUAUUUGUUAUAGACAUAUGCAUCGAUAACCACCCUUUUAAAGUUUUUAUAAAUAGAAAGGAAGAGGGGGUUGGAGAUCUCAAAUGUGGUGAUGUUGGAGAGACCAAUAGAUUGUGAAGAUGUUGCAUAUGAGCAUGGAGAUAACAAAGUGGCUAUGAAAUAAAUUCCGUGCUCAUUAAUGUUAUCUUCGUCUCCAUUCUGAAUGUUCGGAGUUUCUCCUGGAUUAGUCUCGCCUAUGUCCUCUUUUGUAGUUGGAUGAAUCUCAUCUUCAAAGGGAGUCAAGAACUCACCAUUUGAAAUUGAGCCAAAGUCAGAAUCAAUUAAGGCUUCUUCCUUGUCCAUCCAUUAUACACAUUCUAGCCAUUUAGAACUUGUGAUCAGGAAAGGGGAGGUGUUAGAAUUUUCUAUAUGGCUUAGCUCUCCUUCUAUGACAUUACUUGACAUGUCAUCCUCAUAGUCUUUAUGACUCCUAUGGUUUGAUCGUCUUGAUGGGUUGCUAGGAUCAUCAUGAGACUGAAAAGGAGAGAGAUAAGAGGGAUCUCUAAGGUCAAGGAUGGAUUUAGAACUUGUGAACAUGGAAGGGGAGGAGAUAGAAUUGUCUAUAUGGCUUAGCUCUCCUUCACUUGAUAUCUCAUCCUCGACUUCUUCAUAACAGGAACCAAGACAUUCUCUAAGAGAACCAUUAUUGCAAGCAUUUGAAUUAUCCCUGCUUGAAGGUCUCUUAUGGAACCAGAAGUCUAAACCAUCAGCAUAUGAAAGAUUUAAGGUCGGGAUUCCUUCCUCCCUUGGAGAAUCUUGGGGUAUUGAUGGUUUAGGAUUGAUAGCUAAAGUUUGGGAUUGAAGUGGUUGUAAUUUGGCUAUUGAAACUUCCUCUUCUUGUCUAGGAACUGAUUCAUUCUCUUUCUCAGGGAUAUAAAUUAAUGCUAGGAGACUUUCUGCUCAUUAAACCAAUCAAAUUCCAAGCUUCACUAGCGGAUAGGCAGUGGAAGGAUCCUCCAGAGGCCGCAUUAACGGUUUGCUUAUUUUCCCUACUAAGGCCCUUAAAAAGUGAAUUAGAAGAACAUCUUUUGGAAUAGAAAGAUUUGGGCCAGUGAGAGUAAGGUCAAUAAAGCGGUCCCAUGAUUCGCUAAGAGAUUCUUCUUCUAGUUGUCUAAAGAAAGAAUCUCGAUCAGAAGAUCCACCACUUUGGAGAUCGAAAAAUAUUUAAAAAGAAAACUAUUAUAUAGCUCCUUCCAAUCUCCACGAGCACUUCCUAUGUUGAGUUUAUACCAAUGUCUAGCUUUUCCUGUUAAAGAGAACAGAAAGAGCUUCCAUUUAAGGGUCUCAUCGGACAUGCCUUCUAUGCGAAGGAGGUCACAAAUUCAUCCAAACUCUUCAAGGUGUGUGUAUAGGUUUACCUCACCUUGUCCUGAGAAAGGUUGUUUUUGAAGGAAUUCUAUGUAUUCCGGGCUUAUCUCAAAACUAGAUGUCAUGAUAGGCUUUGAAGAUUUUGGUGGUUCGAGAUGUGUGCCCGUAGGUCUAUGAAACUGAUAGAUAGACAUGUUUGCAUUCAUGAUAGACCAGAGAUCAAGGAUUAGAUAAGAAAAAAGAAUAGCAGAGAUGAGGCAAAGGAUAAAAGGAAAAAUAUAUUAUUAUUAUUAUUAUUAUUUUUAGAAAAAAGAUUAAGCUAGUUCAUAGUCAACUCAGCAACCGUCUCCCCAGCAACGGCGCCACAAAGCUUGUUGACACUUGCUAACACUACUUGAAUACUAGGUUGCUAUCCCCAGCAUGGCACUAGAGUGUACUAUGGUAUUUAUAUGCACACAGAUAAAUCUGCAAGCACAUGGAUACCGUUGUAGCUUUUUCCCGGUUAAAGGAUUUAUCAUAUCCACAGAGAAACGGGAGAACCAACUACGCUCUAACUUAACCAAGAUAGACAGGUGGGUGUAAAUAGGAAAUGUGAUAGAAUUGAAUAAGAACAAUAUUAAAGGUAAAAUGAUAAUGGGGGAAUAUAGAGUAGAGCAAUCUAAUAUAUGGGCGACAAUCGGAGAAUAGAGUGGAUAACUAGGGUUUCUCUACUUCAAAGGGGUAUGUCUGUCUGUGGUGUACCAUAAGUAUAAAACAACACAGAGGAUGCUUAUACCUAAGGCCGAGGACUCCUACCAGCCCUGCUAAGAGGAGGUGGACUAUAGAGGACUACGUAGCCGUCACCUACGUGGCCUACUGUUGAUAUUUGGGAACGCACUAAGGAAUUGAUCCGCAAGUGCACGGAUAUCGGUGAGCACUUCUCCCGGGAUGUUAUCUAGAGUAUCGUAUUUAUAUUUUUACCACUAGGAGAAAGAGUGCAUCUGACUAACCCGGUCUAUUACUACUAACCUUUGGGCUACAAAGAAUGUUUCUCGAUGUGAGCGAUGUAUAGAGAAUACUACAACCGUAAUCUCAUUCUAACCUUGGUAGGGAAGAUCUACUGUUCUGUUGGGGAGGCUCAUGGAAUCUGGACACCACAGAGAAUGUUCAACCCGCACCUAUAAACCCUAUUGAUCCUACUAACGGGAUAUGUGCUGCAAAGGUAACUUGGAAAUGUCACGUUCCUCGCUACUACCACGGUCCAGCUAGUUAGUGGAUAUCUAUGAGUAUCCUAGCCCAAACACCACAUUUAUGCUAGAGAUGAUUACUCUAAACUCUACGCGAAGAGAUCAAAGUAAACUCAUAAACCAAAGAACAAUAAAACAAGAACUUACUAGUAUUUAGAAGUUGAAAUACUGAAGAAUCCUAGGAGCAAGCUUCGGGUUAGGAGAACUCGAUCCCGCAGGUACAACCUCGGAGUAGACACCGACAGGUCGGCCUUCCUCCGAUCUACAUCUCCACUCUAUCUCUCUCAAUCUAGUAGAUCUAGUCUACUCUCACAUUGGAUGCUAAGCCAUAAGUCUAUGUAGAGGAAAGGUUAUCCUUCGAGGGCACCUCUCAACUCUAUGAUGAACUUGUUCUCCACUAGGGGCCAGGGGGUCUGCUUAUAUAGUCCCCUCAGGUGAACAUGGGCCGUCGGAUCAAACCGACAUUGAUUGAACAGUUAUCCUUGAUCCUUUAGGUUGGUGUUGCAUGAUCCGGGCUCUGAUUGGUGGAGACACCAGGGCGGGCGCCCUAGGGGGGAGGGCGGGCGCCCUGCCCCCGGGCCCGAUCGCCUUCCCGUUCGUUCCUGUGGCAUCUGGAGUCUUCUAGAUGGUAGAAAAUUGCGCGGUGCAUUAAUAUCUCUAUGUAAUCCCGACAUGUGGGCCUUUCUUCCUUAUUUACUGAUAACCCCUUGCAGAAAUAGAUAAACAACAAAACUCGUGGAAUUCUGUCAAAUCAAACCCUAAUUCUAGGUGUUAUUUGUAUAUUGGUCCUUCUCCUUGUUUAUUUGAUAAUUAAAAUUAAUACUUAAGAAAGGUCAACAAAGACCCCUAUACUUAGGCUUUUACUCGUCCUCGAGAAAAGGAUGGUUAAGAAAAAUAUCUGGGGUUAAAACAUUGUAAAGCAUUUUCUUCAUACCUGCAGGGUGUUGUAAAAAUUUCACUGUGUACCGUAGUCAGAGAAAUAUAUGGUCAAGAGUAGAGGUCCUUUCCUCUUAAUCGGUCACUUGGAGUUUUUGUAUAUUUUUUAAAAAGAAAUUUAGCAUACCUUUGUCCUCAUAGGUUCUCUCAGGUUACUCAUUAUCUUUUAUAUAUCUCACUAAGGCUGUUUUAAUUUGCAAAUUCUCAAGCAUAAUUACCUUGUAUUUAUUGCCUGAUCAAAACGGGAUCCGAGGAGAGGAAUGUCAUACUCUUAGAUCAAAGAUUUUGGAAAUUAAAAACUUGUCAACUCUUACUGGCAUAUUGCUUAUUAGAGGGACCAUGGGCUAUCAUUUUCUUCUCUUUUUCUCUCUUUUUUUUCAGGUGGAUACUGAGGUACCCCUAAUUCUACUACCGGACACUUGUCCAUUUUUUUCUGCGAGGUUGUCGAGCACUUGCUCCUUUUUAUUUCCUCGAAAUUUCAUUAUUUUUGCAUAGCCCAUGCCUCUAACGCAAUAAUACUUCGGAAGAGUGAAUCUUUCUGAAUAAAUGUCUUGAUCUUAGGAGCAUGAUAAAUCUCUCAACAAGGGUCUAACUCAUUUUGAACAAACUCAAUACAAAGCAGAUAGCUUUUAUAAUUAUUAUAAUUAAUAGGUUUAUCAGGCAUAUAAAACACUGACGAAGGUAGCUAGAAUUUUUGAAAUAAAUUCUCCAAGUAAUAGCGAUAUCAAGAAUAAGAUACUCAUACUCUACCAUCUCACAUUCCACAAUGACUUAAGUAACAAAGGGUUUUAAAAUGAUUUUUCAAUAAUUGCAGGUUUACAGAAAAUAUCAGAGAGUGAGAUUAAUCAUGAUUAGAAACAUUUUAAUCUUUUUAAUUUAUCAUGUUGGAGACAAUAUUCUGCAUAAUCCAAGAUAUAUGUGUAUGUGUAAAGUGUGCAGAGUAUGUACCUGAAUCGUGGAGUGGUGUAGUCGAAGUAUGUUUGGCGUGUCGAGGGAUCUCCCACAUACUUGUUUUCUGCUUUCUUGCAUAAAAAUAAAGUAGAGACACACAAGACAUAAUAAUAAUAAUAAUAAUAAUAAUAAUAAUAAUAAUAAUAAUAAUAAUAAUAAUAAUAAUAAUAAUAAUAAUAAUAAUAAUAAUAAUAAUAAUAAUAAUAAUAAUAAUAAUAAUAAUAAUAAUAAUAAUAAUACUCUUUAUUAAUCUUGAGGCAUUUAUUACAAAUGACUAGUAAUGAAUUGAAGCUAAUAAUAGAUUUAAACCAAAUUUAAAGAUAAAUAACUAAGAUGCGUUACCUCAAGAUCUAAUCUAGAUAACUUAGCAGCGCUCUAACUCCCUGAUCUUCUUAUUGGCACUAGCAAGAUCAUGCCUAAUACCUAGUAUAAUGGUAUUCUGGAUAGAGAGUUGCCUAGUGAUAGAGUUAACCGAGGACUGGAGCUCUAUGAUGAUCCUGUCUAGCCUACGAACGUCCUCAUCAAUAUCUAUUAUAGUCUUGCAACACUUAGGAGGUGUCUCAAGAGCGUUGAGAGCGUGCUUCGGGGCUGCCUUUGGAGGGAUGAAACGGACUUUGGCUGCUCUAACCCCCUCAAAGUAAGGCCUCUCUUCCUCUGUUGUGUAGCGGAUGCUGCAGAUCUCGCCACUCCGGUUGGUCUUGACUCCAACGACCCUCUCAUUGUGUCUGGGUGGUAGGAUCCUUGUGCCGGCUGGCACCUUAACGGUGGCCUCCUUCUUGGCUAACGGUCCUUUGAGAAGUAGGGGCUGCGGUGGUGCGGUGAGAACUGGUUGAGCAUGGUACGAUUGGGUGGAGUUGCGCUGGCGUAAUGACAUGGCUUCAAGCUGUCGCUCUGUGUUGGCCAGGACGAGAGCGUAGGUGUCGGGGUCUUCCUUGGGCUUCUUGUUGAGAUCGUAGGGGAUGACUUCCCAAUCGUCGUGGAACUCUUUGGCCAUUGGAGCAGUGAGGGACUAAGCAAGCUCUAAUUGAAGAAGGAGAGAAGGCUUGAAUAGAUUGGUGUUUGAAAACUGACGUCAGGGGUCUGUUUAUAUAGGGGGUCAAAAAGUGCCUCUAGGGUUUGCUCGGGCUACUCCCGCCGCCGUGCGUGCGAAACUUUCCAUCUGUAUGAUUAUUUAGUUUACCAUAAAUGUGUUUAUCAUGACGGAGGAAAUCAGGACUGAGAGGGGACAGGGGCUGGGCGCCCGCCCUUAUCAUCAGGGCGCCCGCCCUGUGCCUGGCCCCUCCAUGGGCCCGCUUCCUCGAGCGUGCUUCUAGAUGCAGAAUUUAUUCGGAAAAUAUAUGUGUGGCCCAAAAGCAUCAGAUUAAACAGGUUGGGCGCUAAAUCUCCAUGGGAAGGUAGAAAUGGAUCACGUCUAUCUCUUCUAAUUCUUUAUUGGGCUCUAAAAAUAAUUUAAGACGUUGCCAUUUACCUUGAAUAACAUACCUUCAUCAUUUUGAAGUGUGAUAGCUCCGUAGGAUGAUGAAUAGAUUACCUUGAAUGGUCCUUCCCAUUUACUCCAGAGUUUUCCAUGCCCGAAAAGCUUCACCCUGGAAUUAGAAAGUAAUACCUUAUCUCUAGGUGUGAACUCCUUCUUCUUGAUCCUCUUGUCAUGCCACCUUUUGACUCUUUCUUUAUAGAUCUUCGAGUUGUGAUAUGCUUUCUCUUGCCAUUCUUCCAAUUCUGAUAGUUGCAUUAUUCUAUGAUCUCAAGCGACAUCUAGGUCCAUAUUCCAUCUCCUUAUGGCCCAGUGUGCUUUGAAUUCUAGUUCAACAGGUAGGUGGCAAGUCUUCCUGUACACCAAUUGGUAUGGGGACAUUCCAAUUGGGGUCUUGUAUGUUGUCCGGUAUGCCCAGAGUGCAUCGGGUAACUUGUCCUUCCAUGCCGUUCCCAUUUCAUUCACUGUCUUCUAAAGAAUAUUCUUGAUUUGCUUGUUGGAAGUCUCUGCUUGGCCACUUGUCUGAGGAUGGUAAGGGGUAGCGACGUUGUGACGGAUUCCAUGUUUUCAUAGUUAUUGCUUGAAGCGUUUGUCGAUGAAGUGUGCUCCUCCAUCACUUAUCACUACUCUGGGGACUCCAAAUCUUGGAAAUAUAACUUCUUCAAACAUCCUCUUUGAACUGAUGUAGUCAGCAUGCUUGCAAGGUAAUGCCUCUACCCACUUGGAGAUGUAGUCAACUGCCACCAAGAUGAACUCACACUGCUUUGAUGGGGGUAAUGGACCCAUGUAAUCUAUUCCCCAGACAUCAAAGAGCUCAAUCUGAAGGUUAUUGGUGAGUGGCAUGACAUCUCUUGUGUUUAUGUUUCUGUGCCUUUGACAUGUCCCACAUCUUCUCAUAUAUUGCUUCGUGUCUUCAUGCAUUGUAGGCCAGUAGAAUCCACACUGCUAGAUCUUUGAAUGUAUAUGGAAUGCUCCAUAAUGACCUCCAUAUGGUGAUGAAUGACACAUGUCGAUGAUCUUCCAUCCUUCCUCGGUGGUCACACAUCUCCUGAGUAAGCCAUCAGAGCAUACUCGGAAGAGGUAUGGCUCAUCCCAUAUAUGUGAACGACUUUCUUGAAUAAACUUCUUCUUGUUUGCUCCUGGUGGUACAUACCUGAAACCAUAAAAUUAACAAUAUUUACAUACCAGAGGUCAGACCUGUUAAUCCCGUAUAGCAUGUCAUCCCGGAGUGAAUAAUUGAUGGGGGUUUCCUGUGGAUUCUGAAAAUACAUUCUAGACAAGUGAUCAGCAACAGAAUUUUCUACUCUCUUUUUCUGGAAGUAAUAAGAUCCAUCUAAUCAGGCGAGGUUUAGCAUCUUUCUUAGUGAGCAGAUAUUUUAGUGCAGCAUGAUCAGUGUAAACAAUUAUUUUAGCUCCAACUAAAUAAGAUCUAAAUUUAUCAAUGGCAAAGACAACAGCCAGAAGCUCUGUCAAAGUUUUACUGGCAUAAGCAAUUGCAUGAUGCUUCCUAUUUUUAGUUUGUCCCAAAACUGCCCCCACAACAUAAUCACUAGCAUCACACAUAAUUUCAAAAGGCAACAACCAAUCAGGGGGUUGAAUGAUUGGUGCAGAGAUGAGUGCAUUCUUUAAUAAAUUGAAAGAUGUUAGGCAUGCAUCAUCAAAUUCGAAAGGAGCAUCCUUGGCUAGCAAAAGAGUAAGUGGUCUAGCAAUAAAUGAAAAAUCUUUUAUGAAUCUGCGAUAAAAACCAGCAUGGCCAAGAAAGCUUCGAAUUCCUUUUAUGUUCACAGGUGGAGGUAGUUGUUCAAUUACUUCAAUUUUAGCUGUGUCUACCUCAAUACCUCUUUCAGACACUAGGUGUCCCAGCACUAUUCCUUCCCUAACCAUAAAAUGACAUUUUUCCCAAUUAAGGACUAAGUGCUUUUCUUCACAUCUUUGCAAAACCUUGUCUAAGUUUUCAAGACAACUAUCAAAAGUUUUUCCAUAUACAGAGAAAUCAUCCAUGAAAACUUCCAUAAUCUCUUCAAUCAUAUCAAAAAAUAUAGACAUCAUGCAUCUUUGAAAAGAAGCUGGUGCAUUACAUAACCCAAAAGACAUUCUACGGUAAGCAUAAGUUCCAUAUGGGCAUGUAAAAGUGGUUUUGCUUUGAUCAUUAGGAUGGAUCGGGAUCUGGUGAUACCCUGAAUAUCCAUCUAAGAAUCAGAAGAACGAAUGGUUUGCUAAUCGCUCUAGCAUCUCAUCUAUGAAAGGUAAAGGAAAAUGAUCCUUCUCGUGGCUUUGUUUAGUUUUCUAUAGUCUAUGCAUAUCCGUCGCCCUGUGAUGGUGCGUUGCGGAAUUAGCUCGUUCUUUUCAUUCAUAACGACAGUCAUGCCUCCCAUUUUUGGCACAACUUCAACUGGGCUCACCCACUCAUUGUGCGGAACAUGAUAUAUAAUCCCUGCAUGCAUCAACUUUAUAACUUCCUUUUUAACUACCUCUGUCAUCGCGUUGUUAAGUCUACGUUGGGGCUCUCGAGAAGGUGAAACAGAAGGAUCUGUUGGAAUACGAUGUGUACAAAUCAUAGGACUGAUUCCUGUAAGAUCUUGGAGUGAGUAGCCGAAAACUGAGUGAUGUUUCCCAAGAAUGGUCAUCAAUUGCAGAGUUUGCUCCUGAGUGAGUUUAUCACUAAUGAUAAUAGGAAACUCUGGAUUAUUGUAUAGGAAAGCAUAGAUAAGACCAGGUGGUAAAGUUUUAAGCUCUAUGGGGGGUCUAGGUGUUUCUGCAAACUCAUCUAAGGGUUCAGGUUCAGAAGGUUCAGCUUCUUCUUCUAUGAAGAAAGGAGCUUCGUCUUCUAAGUCUUGUUCAUCUAAAAGCUCUAGAGAUGCAGCCUUUACCUCCUCCAUAGGAUCAGGCAAAAGAUAUGACUCAGCCUUAUUAUUUAAGGAGUGUGAAAUUGUUAUUGGAAAUUUAAAGGUUUUUCCAAAAUAAAUGUGUAGCCUUCCAGUAUGACCUUCAUAAAGGAGUCUUCUAAAAGGUUGUCCUAUCAACAGGUCGAAGUCCCAUGUAUCAAAGAUAUAAAAGUUCAAAUGAACCAUGGAGCCUUCUACCAUAAGGGGUAGGACAUUAAUAAUUCCAAGACUGAGGACUAAUCGUCCCGAAGAUUCCUUUAUGACCUUUGUUGUGGGGGUUAAGACCAAAUUUUUAAAUAAUUUAAAUGCAAAAGAUUCAGACAUGAUGUUGAUCCCUACAACACGAUUAUAGACAACAUCAAAUUGAUCAGAAUCAUAAGCACAACGUAUAGUUAUAGGAGGUGUGUCCAAACGGAUCACAUAAGAGGAAAGCUCUGACUCCUCCAACCAUUCGCUACUCAUGAAUGCGAUAAGCUCUCUCAAUUGAUGUUCAGUUGGCAAAAAAAUGCUAAAAUGGCCAUUUUGGGGUCUGUUAACAGAAUGGUAGUUUGAAAUGUUUCCAAAAUCGGCAAAAAGAUCAGAUUCUAUAUCCAACAUGAAAUCAGGUGGUGGAAUUUCUUCCUUUUGUGGCUCAGAACUUGGGAUAGCUAAAGUAGAUGGAGAAUUUGGCAGAGUGUCUACUUCGGCUUCGUGGGUUUCAUCAUGAAGGGUAUUAUCCAUCUCAGCUUCUAGGAUUCUAUCUAGGAUCGCUCUAGCGUCAUCAGUAAGGAUGCGAAAGAAAGAACCUCUAGACAUUGUAUGUAGCAUUUGUUUAUGACCUUUCUGAAGCCCUCAAAAAAAGUGAAAUAAAAGAACAGCGUCUUCAAGAUUAAGGUUUGGACCAGAUUCUAAAAGAUCAGAACAACGUUUCCAAGAUUUUCCGAAAGUUUCAUUAUCUUUUUGUUUAAAAGAUAGGACUUCGAGUCUAAGGUCGCUGAUACGGUCGAGGGAAUAAAAAUCUAGACAAAAGUUGGCUCGUAAAACUCCCCAUUCACCUCAUUGUUGACUUACCUUCUGAUUAUACCAUUGUCUAGCUUCUCCCCUUAAAGAAAAAGGAAAAAGCUUCCAACGUAAAGUUUUAUCAGAAAUGCCUUCAAUGCGAAGACAAUCACAUGUUUGCUCAAAAUCUCUAAUAUGAAAGGGUUUUCGUCUUCCUUUCCUGAGAAAGAUAGGUUUUGAAUCAUGGCAAACAACUUAGAACUUAACCUAUACUAGGAUGUUUGGAUAGGCUGUGAUGACUCCCAUGAUAAAAGGUCAGUUUCCGAAGGUGUUGCGAAUUGAUAGAUCGAUUUAGAAUCUUGGUUUUCCAUAAGGUAAGAGUAAAGAAAAUAAAGGAUAUAAAAAGAAAACAAAAUAUAAAAUUAUAGAUACAAGCUAGUAGUAAGACUCAAGGUUAUCUCAGCAAACCGUCUUUGUCCCCGGCAACGGCGCCAGAAAUGCUUGUUGAUAUUUGGGAACGCAAUAAGGAAUUGAUCCGCAAGCGCACGAUUAUCGGUGAGCACUUCACCCGUGAUGUUAUCCAGAGUAUCAUAUUUAUAUUUUUACCACUAGGAGAAAGAGUGCAUCUGACUAACCAGGUCUAUUACUACUAACCUUUAGGCUAGAAAGAAUAUUUCUCGAUGUGAACGAUGUAUAGAGAACACUACAACCGUAAUCUCGUUCUAACCUUGGUAAGGAAGAUCUACUGUUCUCUUGGGGAGGCUCACAGAAUCUAGACAACACAGAGGAUGUUCAACCCGCACCUAUAAACCCUAUCAAUCCUACUAACGGGAUAUGGGCUGCAAAGGUAACUCAGAAAUGUCACGUUCCUCGCUGCUACCACGGUCAAGCUAGUUAGGGGAUAUAUAUGAGUAUCCUAGCCCAAACACCACAUUUAUGCUAGAGAUGAUUACUAUAAACUCUAUGCGAAGAGAUCAAAGUAAACUCAUAAACCAAAGAACAAUAAAACAAGAACUUACUAGUAUUUAGAAGUCGAAAUACUGAAGAAUCCUAGGAGCAAGCUUCAGGUUAGGAGAACAUGAUCCCGCAGGUACAACCUCAGAGUAGACACCGACAGGCCGGGCUUCCUCUGAUCUACACCUCCACUCUAUCUCUCUCAGUCUAGUAGAUCUAGUCUACUCUCACAUUGGAUGCUAAGCCCUAAGUCUAUGUAGAGGAAAGGUUAUCCUUCGAGGGCACCUCUCAACUCUAUGAUGAACUUGUUCUCCUCCAGGGGCCAGGGGGUCUACUUAUAUAGUCUCCUCAGGUGAACAUGGGCUGUUGGAUCAAACUGACAUUGAUUGAACGGUUAUCCUUGAUCCUUUAGGUCGGUGGAGCAUGAUCCGUGAAGUUGGCUCUAAUUGGUGGAGGCACCAGGGCGGGCGCCAUAGGGGGGAGGGUGGGCGCCCUGCCCCUGGGCCCGAUCGCCUUCCCGUUCGUUCUCAUGGCUUCUGGAGUCUUCUACAUGGUAGAAAAUUGCACGGUGCGUUAAUAUCUCUAUGUAAUCCCGACAUGUGGGCCUUUCUUCCUUAUUUCAUGAUAACCCCCUGCAGAAAUAGAUAAACAACAAAACUCAUGGAAUUCUAUCAAAUCAAACCCUAAUUCUAGGUGUUGUUUGUAUAUUGGUCCUUCUCCUUGUUUAUUUGAUAAUGAAAAUUGAUACUUAAGUACCGUCAACACCUACCACGUGAUCCGGCUAACAGGGGAUAUCCACAAGUAAUCUAGGUCUAAGCACCACGCUUACACCUAUACUACAACUCUCACCUAUUGCGUCCUAUAGAUUAAAGUACUCAAAAGAGUUGUGAACCAGAACAUACAUGGAUAGUAAUUGCAUAAUGAAAUAAGAAGUAGAUUACCAGAGUUAUCCCAUGAGCAAGCUUGAUUAGAGCUUGAUCAUAGCAAAGUACAGCCAGAGGAAGAACCGACAGGCCAGCCUAUCCUCCAAUCCUCCCUCGCUCUCCAUCUCGCUACUAUCUAGAUCUACUCUAUGUUAGAGAUGAGAGGAGAGCUCUCAUCUCCAAACCCUAGCUUUUGCUCUAUCUAUGAAUAAUGAAUAAGGAUUCAGAGGUGUCUCCUCCAGGGGCCAGGGGGCCUGCAUAUAUAGCCCCUCAAAAUGAAUGUGGGUCGUCUGAUCAAUCCGACCUUAAUCGCAUGGUUUUUCUUAAACCCUUAGGUCGGUGGAUCAUGAUCCGCGAGGCAGGGCCUGAUUGGCCAAGACACCUGGGCGGGCGCCCAAAGGGGGAGGGCGGACGCCCAGUCCCUAGGCCCGCUCGGCCUCCCGUUCAUUCCUGUGGCUUCUGGAGUCUUCUAGUUGAUAGAAAAUUGGCGCACACGUUAAUAUCUCUAUGUAAACCCGACAUGUGGGCCUUUCCUCCAUAUUUCCUGAUAACCCCUUGUAGAAAUAGACAAACACCAAAACUCGUGGAAUUAUGUUAGAUAAAACCCUAAGUCCAGGUGUUGGAUGCAUUUGGAUCCUUUUCUUUAUUUAUUUGAUGAUUAUAGUUGGUACUUAGGGACCGUCAACAGUUGUCAAUAUCUUCAUCAAGUGAGGUGAACAUCCAGGGAUCUCCGGUCAUAUGUUGAGUGCAACCACUAUCAAUUACCCAAUGUGAUCCACCGAUCUUGUAGUUCACCUACACACAAGAGAUCAAGCUUGAGAUUUAGGGACCCACAUUUGCUUAGGGCCCUUUACCUUCUCUACUAGUUGCUUUGGCACCCAAAUCUUCUUUGACCUUUGCUUGUUGGACGGCCCCAUGAAACUAACCUGGACCAUGCCACUCUUGUCUUUCCUUAUAAUGUAGUGAGCAUUGAAGGCCAAUGGUCUAGCAUGCUUGGGCAAGGGUGGUGGUAGUGGUGCCUCGCACUCAUGAGCAAAGUGUCCUUCUUGUCCACACUCAAAACACCUCUUUGGCUUUGGCUUGCUUGAGUGAUCAUGAGUGGCUUGUGAUUUGAUGAGCUUUGUUUGAUGAGCCUUGUAGCCAAUCCCACGUUUGUCCAUCUUUAUGAUGGUGUUCAUGAAUAGCUUGCUUUGAAGGUCCUUUCCUUUUGUGAACUUUGCUAGCCCCUUGGUUAGAUGUUCCUUCUCUUUCUUGAGCUUGCUAUUCUCUUGAGUUAGCUUCUUGAUGAUUGGGUCAUUGUUGCUUGCUAACUCUUCUAAGAUGAAUGACUCAUCUUCUUCUUGCUUGUCAUACAUCAAACCAAGCUUGAGAUAUUGAUUCUCUUCUUUGAGCAACUUGUUCUCAUAUGGAAGCUUCUUGUCUUGAUCAAGUGACUCAAUCACUAUUGUGUUGUGCUUGGUUUGCUCUUGCAACUCUUUCUUGAGCAUGACAUUUUCUUCCUUGAGCUUGAUAGUGUCCUCAUAGCUCUCGGCCUCUACCACUUUCUUGCCCUUGCAAUCAACACAUUUGCUUGUGCUCUCCACAAGUAAGUCAUCACAAGAUGUGGCUACAUCAAGCUUAACAACAUGGUUAGUAGCAUCAUGUGUUUCAUUGAUUGCAAUAUCAUAAGCUAUCUCAAGGUUGUCAUAGUUUGCUUUUAGAGUUGUUAGCUCUUCCUUCAAAGCUCUAUGUCUAGUGAUAAGCUCAUCAUGCACACUCUCUAGUUUAUCAUGUUUUUCUUUGAGCUCUUUUAGAGAAAGUUUGAGCUCCUUGAGCUUAGUGGUCAUGAUCUCAUUUUGAUCUCUAAGCUCAUUAAUCACUAGAUUUAAGCUUUGCUAGAAGUGAUUCAUUUUCAAGUUCAAGCUUUUCAUUUUCACUUCUAGUUUUUCUUAUGACCUUAGUGUAUUUGUUUAUCAAUUUUACAAGUUUGUCAUAAGAUGGUCAUUCAAAUUCACUAUCAAUUUCACUACUCUCAUCCUCACUUUGUACCUUCCGGUCACCCUUGGCCAUGAGGCAUAGGUGUGUAGAGGAUGUAGAUGGUGGUGAAAAUGAUGGUGAUGAAGCAUCAAUGGCAAUGGCGGCAACCUUCUCAUCGUCACUUUCAUUACCGAAGGAGUCACCACUUGUGCUUUCAAUGUCGGUGAGCCAAUCACCAACAAUGUAAGCCUUGCCAUUCUUCUUCUUAUGGUACUCCUUCUUGCCACCUUUCUUCUUGUAUUGCUUCUUGUCGUUCUUCUCUUCAUCACUUGAGUCAUCAUGCUCUUUGUUCUUCUUCUUGUAUUUGUCCUUCUUGGGAUUUGGACAUUGGUGAGCAAGAUGACCAAGAUCACCACAAUUGUAGCAAUCCAUCUCGGAGAUGGGAUUUAUCUUGCUACUUGUGAAGAAUUUCUUCUUCUUGGAGUCAAAGUUGACUCCAUUCUUGUUGAUGACUCAACUUCAAUCUUCUUGGCUUUGCCCUUGUGAUAAGCUUUGAGGGCCAAGUCCUUCUUUUCCUUCUUGGCCGAUGAGGAGACAUCUUGGUGGUUCAUGUGCAUGUACAUCUCAUGAGCAUUGAUCUCCCCCAAUAUGGACGUUGGUGUAGCGGUGGAGAGAUUGCCUUGAUGAAACACUGUUACUAUGUGCCCAUAUUUCUCAAUGGGGAGAACACAUAGUAUCUUUCUUGUCACAUCCGCCGCACUCAUUUGAUUGAGCCCAAGUCCAUUUAGCUCUUCUACAAUGACAUUCAAGCGAGAAUACAUUUCAUUAGCAUUUUCUUUUGGAAGAAUUUCAAAUGUAUUAAGCUUGUUCAUCACAAGAUGAAAGCGUUCCUCACGCUCACUCUUGGAUACCUCAUGGAGCGCACAAAGUUCCUUCCAUAGAGCAUUGGCGGUUUUGUGGUUCCGAACGCGGUUGAACACUUCUUUGCAAAGACCUCGAAAGAUGUGGUUUUUGGCCUUUGCAUUCCACUUCUCAUUUUCUUGCUCUUGUGGAGUAAGAGCGGCGUCUUUUGUCGGAGGGGUUGUUGAUGGUCCUUAAGUAUCAAAUUUAAUCAUCAAAUAAAUAAAGAAAAGGAUCCAAAUGUAACCAACACCCAGACUUAGGGUUUUAUCUGAUAGAAUUCCAUGAGUUUUGGUGUUUGUCUAUUUCUGUAGGGGGUUAUUAGGAAAUAUGGAGGAAAAGUGCACACGUCGGGUUUACAUAGAGAUAUUAACGUGUGCGCCAAUUUUCUACCAUCUAGAAGAGUCCAUAAGCCACGGGAACGAACGGGAGGCCGAGUGGGCCCGGGGAUAGGGCGCCCGCCCUCCCCCCUUGGGUGCCCGCCCAGGUGUCUUGGCCAAUCAGGCCCUGCCUCGUGGACCAUGCUCCACCGACCUAAUGGAUUAAGGAAAACCGUGCGAUUAAGGUCGGUUUGAUCCGACGGCCCACGUUCAUUUGGAAGGGCUAUAUAAGCAUGCCCCCUAGCCCCUAGAGGAGACACCUCUGAAGCCUUAUUCAUUAUUCAUAGACAGAGAAAAAGCUAGGGUUUGGAGAUGAGAGCUCUCCUCUCAUCUAUAAACUAGAGUAGAUCUAGAUAGUAGCGAGAUGGAGAGCGAGGGAGGAUUGGAGGAGAGGCCGGCCUGUCGGUUCUUCCUCUGGUUGUACUUCACCAUGAUCAAGCUCUAAUCAAGCUUGCUCAUGGGAUGACUCUCCUAAUCUAUUUCUUAUUUCAUUUUCAAUUACUAUCGACGUAUGUUCUGGUUCACAAGUCUUUUGAAUACUUUAAUCUAUAGAAUGCUAUAGGUGAGAGUUGUAGUAUAGGUGUAAGCGUGGUGCUUAGACCUAGAUUACUUGUGGAUAUCCCCUGUUAGCCGGAUCGCAUGGUAGGCUACUGUUGGCGGUUCUUAAUGACAUAUUUACCCCACCAACAUAGUCCAUGCAAAGGAAGAAAAGCAUGUAUUUUACUCACAUAUACUUAUUAAAUGCUUACCAAGUUCCACAUGUAGUGCAAGUUGUGUUUUGCAGAUCAUAUACAGGCAUACAGGUGGAAAGCAAAUAAAAAGGCGCAAUCCGACACGUCUAAAAAAUGCGCAAAUAAACAAGUACCCAAAAGCCCAAUAUAGAAGUGCAUCAAUUUGCAGGUGGAUCUAGACUCAAGGGCACGAGAGGAAGGCAACGGGCUUCGGGCCGGGGCUAGAGGGGCCCACCAGGGGGCGGCCGCCCCCUAGGGUCGGCCGACCCUGACCCAGCCCAUCUCGGCACCGCCUUUCGCAGAGGCGGUGUUGAGCCUAUCCUCCCGCAGUCCCCGCGUGCAAAUUGUAGUUUACACCCUAGGGAACCGACCUUCCCCACCUAUUUAAGGAGGGGGAGAGGGAGGCUCCAUUCACCUCAUCACAUUCACAAUCAACACUCCACCUUCAAGGCACUUGGGCACUACCUCUUCUUAGUUUUCCUUUUAGCUUUUAGAGAGAGAGUUGGGUGAGCUAUCAAGGAGGGAUUGGCUCCUUGGAGAGAAACUUGGGUAUGAAUAAAGAAUAUCUUUACUCCAAGUCCAUGCCUUAUCAUGUCCGAUAUAGUUCUUCAUAUGAACUAGAGUAUAGUUCUUAUGCUAUGUUAUAUGAUAUAGAUCAUAGGCCAUGUUUUAUGAUGCCAGCAUAUGAACUAGAAUAUAGUUCUAGUGAAAAUGAUAUGACAUACAUUUUAGUAUAUAGUUCUUAUAGUAUAAUGCUACCCUAGGGCUAGUAGUGUAUUAUAUGAACUAGUGCUAAGUGUAUGUUGUAUUAUUCUCACUUAGGACUUUAGUCUAAUUGCUUCAUGUUAAUUAAUUGCCCAGAAAAACCUUUGUGUGAAGAUGGGGGUUUAUCAUGCUCUUUUGAGUAGGCUCGGGCUUCUCACCUGUCGAUACGUAGGGUCGGGGACCCGGGGGAGUCCGAGUAGGUUCUUUGCAUGUAAGCAUGGUGCUUGGGUGUAAAGGCCGGGUAAAUGCAUUGUCCUAGUCCACGGUUGAGGGGAUGGCGGCAGGUGGUGACAGCCCUAUCCGUCCUUGGCAUUCCCCCACGUUCGGCUAGGGUGUAGGAGUCUAAAUAGUUGCGGAGGUUGCUGGCAGACCAGUACUCGCGUAACCGCCCAAACCAUCUAAACACAGGACUAGAUCUAAGUAGUAUAAUUACAUGAUUAACUUGUUCUAUGACAUGAUCUGUAUCUAGGACCACACCUGCUCCAAUAGGUUGUUUGUUUAUUCUUUGAUUCAAUUCAUUCUUUUAGUCUCUUUUUAUUCCUUAGCCCAUAUGCCAUGCCUAGAUUGUGAUGGAUCACUAUUCUACAUAUAAAUGUUUAUCACCUGCUAUGACUUUUGAUUCCAUUAUUGCUAUCAUAAUUACAUUGAUCUAUGCUUAUCUUAGAAUCCUUAACAUAUUGAGCCUUCCUUAGAGUGAACCUAUAAAUACGACACUCGGUAAAUCCCCGGGUUGAAAUGCUACACGAUAAUUGUUGGGUAUUCUUAACAUCAUUACCAAAAGUAGACUAAGUUCUAAAUCUAGCAACGGUGCCAAAAAUGCCAAACCUAUCCCUCACACCACUUAAGCCAAGUUGUCAUCCCCAGCAUGAUAUGAGAGACGCGGUAUUGAAAUAUGCAAUUGCUCUUCUAAAUAAAUAAUGAAUGGGAUCUGCAAGCGCACAGAUUAAUACCGAUGUAGCAUUUUAACCGGGAAGUAUUCCAGGUAUCGUUAUUUAUAUUUUUACCACUGGGAAGGGAUUAGAAAUCAUCACUAAUGAUUACAGAAUAGAAUAUGAGAUUGAGCAUCUAUCAUUGCAUGUAUAAUUGAGAACAUUAUAUCUAACUCUUCAUACAGGGAUAAGUGUCACAUAAAAGAUAUAUGAAAUAAUAAUAGUGACAAGGAUAACUAAUCUGAUCUAGCCACAUAAUAAAUAUGAUAAGCACCUCAAUUAGAUACUCUAGAAAGUCAUUAGCAUGGUAUUAGAACGAACUACAAGAAUAUUCCCUAAGUUAUUCUUAACUAUAUAGUCUAGCAUUAUCAUAAUUAGUGCAAGCAUACUUAGCAAUCAUUGCAAGACAAGACUACGCCCAUGCAUAGUGAUAUUAGCAAGGAAUAUGAGAAACAUAGCAAUCACUCCCCUGUAAUAAUGUUGCUCUGCCAGCCCAAUACACGAGAGGGGGACUAUAUAAGAAUCAAUGAAGCUGUCACUAUCACGAACCACCCCACGAUCUGGCAUAUUGGGUACAAUCGCAGAUAAAUACGGUAUAAGCACCACGCCUACACAAUAUCUAUCAUUUACCCAUGGAUCCGAUGGAUAAACGCUAUACGAUCCUAAGCAUGUAUAUAGAUCGUAUCUAACUAAGCCAAGUACAUAACUAUGAUAAACUAACAACAAUAUAAUCUUGUAUAUAAGCAAGUAGAGCAAAGUCAUAAGCAAUAUAUUGAAGUAGAACAAAGUCAUAUUCAUAAUAUUGAAGAACAAAGAUAAUUAGAAAGCAAUUAGAAGCACAAUUAGAGAAUUACCAAGAAUCCUCCUGACAGAUCCGGAAACCAAUCAAAGAUUGACUCCUUCUAGUUCUAAUCCUAUGUAGCUAUGCUAAUCUAGAUAUCUAAUUGAUGUGGUGGCUCUAAUCUUGAUCAGAGGCUUCUUCUCCCUUGAUGGAACAAUGAAUUAGGGUUGAGAGGCUCUCCCCUCCAGGGGCCAGGGGGUCUGGUUUUAUAGUCCCUCCAAGUGAGUAUGGGCCCUUGGAUCAAACCGACAUAGAUUGUAUGGUUUAGAUUCAUCCUUUAGGUCGGUGGAGAUCUCCCGCAAAGCAGAGUCCUGAUUGGACACAGGGGCAGGGCGGGCGCCCUGUCUCUGGCCCUAUUUCGCCUCCGCUUCGGUCUCGUGGCUUCUGGAGUCUUCUAGAUGUAAGAUAAUUGCAUAGCACGUUAAUAUCUUUACGUAAUCCUGACAUGUGGGCCUUUCUUCCAUAUUUCCUGAUAACCCCCUGCAGAAAUAGACAAACACCAAAACUCGUGGAAUUCUGUCAGAUAAAACACUAAGUCUAGAUCUUGAUUUCAUUUGGAUCCUUUUCUUUAUUUAUUUGAUAAUUAAAUUUGAUACUUGAGGACCGUCAACAAACUCCCCCAAGCUUACCUCUUGCUCGUCCCUGAGCAAGGAUAGACUCAGCUAUGGAUCAUAAGUAGUUGCAAUAUCUUUAAAAAAUUUGACGGUUCACAUGCUUUUAAAUAAGAUCUCAUCUCUGAGUUAGAGUAAACUGUCAAGACUUAAAACUUACUUACUUUACCUUCACCAUGGGACUUGUAACUGUCACUUCUGUCUUGAGUGGUUAAAAGAUAGAACAGUCUAGUCAAGUGCCAUGUCUCUUAUUCUUGAUCAGCUAUAGCUCUGGGGUUUUUGCAGAUUUUUAAAUAAAACUCAGAGUUUCCUUGUAUGAUUCUCUCAGGUCUCUCUUUUGUGGUAUUUUUGGAUCCUUACCACGGCAGUGAUGGUAUAUGCCUUCUCUCAAGAUAUGUAGUAUUUGUGGUAUAAAGCAUAAUGACAUUGCCUUCUCUCUCAUCCUACUCUAAUAAGGCUUUAAUAUGUGGAGCUCAUAGGUGGGAGAUAAAGUAUACAUACUUAUAAGACAUUUAUUGCAUAGUCAAACCAUGGAUCCAAAGUAACAAGUCAAUAAGCCAAAUCAAGAUGUGCAUGUGUGGCGAAUGAAAGGUGUAUGGUGAUGAUGGUGAUAACAAUGGUGAAAACAAUGGUGGUGGAAGUCUAAUUCUACUUUUGCUCUUUUGAGGGGAUACAUACCUUCCUUGCUUUUUGAAACUUUAUGAGAUGCUCUAUAUUUUUCUUUUCUCUCAGGUGGGUAUCUUGUACCCCUAAUUCUACUGUCGGACACUUGUCCAUUUUUACCUCUCGUCUCACUUUUCUUUUCUUUCGAGGUUCCGAGCACUUGCUCCUUUUUAUUUCCUCGUAUAUUAUUAUUUUUUUAUUAGAGCACUCAUCUCUUGAGAUAAUAUAGCAAGUGGUAGUAACAAGAUAACUUGAGCAUUUAUUUCACAAGUGCAAAACAGAAAUAUUUUUGGCUAUUCUCUCCCGGAUUAGGAGUAGAAUAUUUUUAGGUGGUUCUGGAGAUGGAAAUGAAUGGAUAUAUGUGGAUGGUACUUCCGGAGUAGAAGUAGCAUAUAUGAGUGAACGUGCAAGUGAAAUCUUGAUUUAACCACAUGACAAGCUCCUAAGGGUCUACACAGUUUGACCACACUCAAUGCUCAUAAGCAGUAAAUAUUAAAUGUGUGGCUCAAAGUCUAGCAAGCAUGUAUAUAUGGCUGUGGUAGGAAUUUAAACUCUCAUCAUACAGGAACUCAUCAUGCAACAUUUUAAAGAUUUUCAAAGAUAAAAUUCUCCAGAAUUCUAGCAUCUCUAGGAACAGAUAAACAGCAGCUCAACCUUCCCAUAUCAUAUCCGUUAACAACUUAGACUUCAGAUCAAGUUUUCAUCCCACAAGUUUAGGUCU
RNAcentral lists this long non-coding RNA (23929 nucleotides) under Sorghum bicolor (sorghum). Its description in RNAcentral is "long non-coding RNA (SBIC_LNC015798)". The record is from RNAcentral. Lineage: Eukaryota; Viridiplantae; Streptophyta; Magnoliopsida; Poales; Poaceae.